UAGGUGCAACAGGUAGUUGCUGGUGACUUUUUGAGUCACGAGAGGAAAGUCCGUGCUACACGUGAGAUAGGACUCCAUCUAACGGAUGGCUAGAGUAAUCUAAGGGCAAGUGCAACAGAGAGUAGACAGCCUAUUUAUUAUCUUUUAAUAUUGGGUGAAGGUGAAAGGGUGGUGUAAGAGACCACCAGUGCUUAUGGUAACAUAGGUAGCUAGGUAAACCCUGUCCGUAGCAAGAGGCACAUGGUAAAAAUCUCACUAUGUCAUUGGAUUGACAAUAGUGUCUCGCUUGAGCGUAUGGGCAACCAUACGCCUAGAUAAAUAACUACCCAACGACAAAACACGGCUUAUCGUUGCACCUAAAUU
This 363-nucleotide RNase P RNA is filed under the name Campylobacterales bacterium. RNAcentral describes it as "RNase P RNA component class A". It matches the Rfam family "Bacterial RNase P class A". Rfam says of the family: Ribonuclease P (RNase P) is a ubiquitous endoribonuclease, found in archaea, bacteria and eukarya as well as chloroplasts and mitochondria. Its best characterised activity is the generation of mature 5'-ends of tRNAs by cleaving the 5'-leader elements of precursor-tRNAs. The record is from RNAcentral. Lineage: Bacteria; Pseudomonadati; Campylobacterota; Epsilonproteobacteria; Campylobacterales.